This 1185-nucleotide long non-coding RNA is filed under the name Sus scrofa (pig). RNAcentral describes it as "lncRNA (ENSSSCG00060038429.1)". Lineage: Eukaryota; Metazoa; Chordata; Mammalia; Artiodactyla; Suidae. The record is from RNAcentral.
CGGGACCCUGAGGUGUCCAGGAGGCCCCUCUUGGUUCUUCCCUUAGAGUCACUCUUGAAACGUGGACAGCAAGCGGUUUCUACAGGAUUAUGUCAUUUUUGGUGGAAAGGAUCAAAGAAGUGGAAGGUGGAAAAUCAAUGGAAAGAGUGGAGAGCGCUGAUGCGAAAAGAGCAAGAGCCAGACAAGAAUACCGGGAGAGAGAAGAACAAAGCUUUUCCCUCUCUGCUUCUGGAAUGUAAAUAUUAUCUCAGUUUGAAGAUAGAAGAGGGGCAAAGAACAACAGAUGCUUUCAUUCAACAGUACUUACCAAGUGGCCACUUUGAAUUAGGCCCAUAUGAAUCCAGUCAAAGCACCAUCAGGGGCUGCCAAAACUAGAAGAUCCCAGAUGUCCUGGUGCAGGAGGUGAAUAUCUUCUCAACUGAAGACAUGGAAACAACUUAAAUGUCCAUCGACAGAUGCAUGGAUUAAGAAGAUGUGGUAUAUACACACAAUGGAAUAGUACUCAGCCAUAAAAGAGAACAAAAUAAUGACACUUGCAGCAACAUAUAUGGAACUAGAGACUCUCAUACUUAAGUGAGGUAAGUCAGAAUGAGAAAGACAAAUACCAUAUGAUAUCACUUAUACAUGGAAUCUAAUAUAUGGUACAAAUGAACCUUUCUACAGGAAAAAAAACUCAUGGACAUAGAGAACAGACUUGUGGUUGCCAAGGAUGGGAGAAGGGAGUGGGAUAGACUGGGAAUCUGGGGUUAAUAGAUGUAAACUAUUGUCUUUGGAACAGAUAAGCAAUGAGAUCCUGCUGUAUAGCACUAGGAACUCUUACCUAGUCACUUAUGAUGGAUCAUGAUGGAGAAUAAUAUGAGAAAAAGAAUGUAUAUACGUGUGUAACUGGGUCACUUUGCUGUACAGUAGAAAAUUGACAGAACACUGUAAACCAGCUAUAAUGGAAAACAUAAAAAUCAUUAAAAAAAAAAAAAAAAAAAAGAUCAGACAUGUCAAGAGCUAACCAGAGUACAGCCCAGCAGUGUUAAGUCCCCGGAACCUCUGCAAACCUCAUCUGAAUGCACUACUAAUUUCAUUUCUUACCCUAGUGGUCUCUUCAGCCUUUCUCAAACUUUGCCUUACACUCUUCCCUUUGCUGACAGUGCGUUUCUUCUCACUCAACUACUGAAGGGAAAAAAAUCCGCC